This 142-nucleotide unclassified non-coding RNA is filed under the name uncultured fungus. RNAcentral's name for it is "sequence contains ITS1". The record is from RNAcentral. Lineage: Eukaryota; Fungi.
UUAAUUCUAGGUUUAAUUCAGACACAGACAUAUGGCAUAAAUACGACGCCAAGGCGCCGAAGCACGGCUAUAUUCCACGGGUUUUGAAGUUGAAGGCCGAAGCCAUUCGUUAAUGAUCCCUCCGCAGGUUCACCUACGGAGA